RNAcentral lists this long non-coding RNA (1267 nucleotides) under Numida meleagris (helmeted guineafowl). RNAcentral's name for it is "lncRNA (ENSNMEG00000014752.1)". The record is from RNAcentral. Lineage: Eukaryota; Metazoa; Chordata; Aves; Galliformes; Numididae.
GGGACAUUGCCAUGGGGAGGUCAGAGGAGUCAGCUCUGCAGUGAUAAAUGAAAUAUCAACAUUUUAACUGCUGUGUUUGUUUGUGUAAUGGCUAUGUGCAUGGAGCAGGCACACCCUGCAAUCAGAGCCCCAGCUGACAGGGAACAAAAGAGCUCUGGCAGUUUUAGAAGGUGUGCACACAGCGGUGGAUCCCUCCUUUCAAACCAAAUUCACAGAAGCACGGACCUAGUCCAUGCUGUCUCACAGAGAUAUUACCCCUUUUCUUCACAUGAAGAAGGGACAAAUUCUUCAACAUCUAUCAGAGCUCUCAGAUAUAUUUGACUCAUGAGGCAAAAGCAGAUCUGUGCCAAAGCCUUCCUCCCUCCCAGCCAAAGCAUCUCUUUGUUGCAGAAGACCGACUUCUCACUGAACGUGUCUGCACAGCCUGGUCAGGGAGAAAGCCAUGAAGGAUCUCCUCUCUCUUCGCUCUCCUCCUGGCUGCUGUGCUUGCCUGAAGUCAUUUUCUGCUCAUAUUCUGGAGGUGGCACAGAGACUUGUCCUGUGUUCUCGUCUUCCGAUGAAUCUGCACAUUUUGAAGAAGGCUAUGCUGCUCAAGUCUGUCAUCACUUGUUGACGUAACUUUUUAAUUAACAACUGACAAGAUGAAGAUAUCUGACUAUGCAGUUGUCAGUAAUUGAUUUAUAUGAAGUUACUUGAAAGAUUUCUUUAUGAAUGGAGGUUCUUUAUUUCUCAACCAAAGGAGAACGUGCAAGCCACUGACAUGUUCUCAGAACUUUUGAAGGCAUUAGUCAUGAUGGAGUGUGAGGAUUCAUUUGAAGUGCUCAUGAAAUUUGGCACAAAUGGUUCCAUCUUAAAAUUAGUCAGGUGGAUUUAUACUUUCCCCAGGCAACUAGUCAGAGUAAUAUUGUAUAACUAUUUUGGAGGUAAAAGUAACAGGCAAUGGCCAUAGUUUUAUCUGUUCUUCACUGCUGCAGCUAAAUCCUUUUUCUCAGCCUUGGGGACACAAACUGAGACAUGGAGCAGAACUUUGACAUCAUCCUAUUGUCUGUCAAAUCAGAUGACUCGUAGCAUUGUUGUCAGAACAAAGUGUUGGGAUCAGCAAAUGAUUUAUGACAUGAUCCAGUUAAUGAUCUUCGAGGAGUCUCUGCAAAGUGAGGUCAGUCAAUGGCAUUUUUAAGUAACCAUCACCUUUCUCGCCUCCAGCAGUAGCUGCUUGUAUUUGCCUUCAUUUCUUCUAUUAAAAUUGCCCACACAAUGGUGUUGGAAG